UUGAACUUUGGAGUAUUUGGAAUAGUUUACUCUUGUUAUAAGAAAAGUGGUAUGUUGAAGCUUUAAUUUAGACAGAUUGCUAGGAGGCGGUUAGUGCUAUUCAAGAUGUCUAUUUGGGGUAUCAUAUUCGGCAUUGAUUCAACGAAUUAAGCAUGUAAGAGCCCAAUUUUGCCUGGGCCCAAUAAUGAAACAAAAAAAAAACAGUCCAUUUAUAAGGUCCGAGAGCCCAAAAAAAUUAUGACAAGCCCAAUUACAAGGAGGGGCCCAAAAUCCUAAUCUUUCAGCAGAAACCCUAGUUGCCCUAGCCCCCUGCCGCGCUACUCCCCGACAUGUCAGUGGACACGGCACCCGAAACCUUUCUCCUUGCACCAAAGCGACAGUUGCAACCUCGUUGACUUCCACCGCCCCUGCAAGAAACACAAAAAAGGAAAAGAAGCAGAAACAAGCAAUUGAAGAAAAAUAUAUAUUGUAAUAUUAUUUUGGUUAUAAAAACCGAUCUUUGUAACAAGAAAAGAGGGAUCGAAUACAUUGAAAUAAAAAACGAAAUCGAAAUACAAAAAAAAUAUCAGAAGAAUCGAAAUAAAAAUACCACAAAGUUCAAAAAGGUAACAUUUUAUUUAUUAUUAUUAUUGUAUUUUGAUUUUUCUUUUUUCGAAACAAAAAUAAAAAAAAAGAGAGAACUUUACUUGUUUUGCGUCGUCGCUAGAGGUCCCUUCUGACUCGAGAAGCCUCGGACCCUUUAGGGUCCAUGGAGGGCCUCGUCUGAGAGAGUAGAAACCGAAAGGUUUCUCUCCUUUUCUGGAUUUUGGCUAAGUUUUGGGUGAUUCUGACUCUAGAUCGGAGAUCUAAGCGGAAAAAGAUUUUGAGAAUUUUAUUUUUGGUGAUCUUCGGCCAUCGGAGGGGGUAGUCUCCGUCGUCGGUGACAGGCGGCCACGGCGGAGAUUCGCAGACCCCGUGGCUGGACUCGAAGCCACUUUAGAGAAAAAAGGAGAAAAAAGCUUUUUUUUU
Molecule: long non-coding RNA, 1008 nt
Filed under: Gossypium barbadense (sea-island cotton)
Lineage: Eukaryota; Viridiplantae; Streptophyta; Magnoliopsida; Malvales; Malvaceae
Description: long non-coding RNA (GBAR_LNC013946)
Source: RNAcentral